AAGAAAUUUAAUAAUUUUGAAAAUGGAUUUUUUUUUUGUUUUGGCAAGAGCAUGAGAGCUUUUACUGGGCAAGAAGACAAGAGAUGGAGAGUCCAGCCGGGCCUGCGCUUAAGUGCGCGGUCUUGCUAGGCUUGUAAGUUUCUUUCUUGCUAUUCCAAACGGUGAGAGAUUUCUGUGCUUUUGUUAUAGGACAAUUAAAACCGUUUCAAUACAACACACUGUGGAGUUUUCAUAUCUUUGCAACUUUUUCUUUGGGCAUUCGAGCAAUCGGGGCCCAGAGGUUAACAAACACAAACAAUUUUAUCUAUUCAUUAAAUUUUCGUCAAAAACAAGAAUUUUCGUAACUGGAAAUUUUAAAAUAUUAAAAACUUUCAACAACGGAUCUCUUGGUUCUCGCAUCGAUGAAGAACGCAGCGAAAUGCGAUACGUAAUGUGAAUUGCAGAAUUCCGUGAAUCAUCGAAUCUUUGAACGCACAUUGCGCCCCUUGGUAUUCCAGGGGGCAUGCCUGUUUGAGCGUCAUUUCCUUCUCAAACAUUCUGUUUGGUAGUGAGUGAUACUCUUUGGAGUUAACUUGAAAUUGCUGGCCUUUUCAUUGGAUGUUUUUUUUUUCCAAAGAGAGGUUUCUCUGCGUGCUUGAGGUAUAAUGCAAGUACGGUCGUUUUAGGUUUUACCAACUGCGGCUAAUCUUUUUUAUACUGAGCGUAUUGGAACGUUAUCGAUAAGAAGAGAGCGUCUAGGCGAACAAUGUUCUUAAAGU
This 758-nucleotide unclassified non-coding RNA is filed under the name Saccharomyces cerevisiae (brewer's yeast). RNAcentral describes it as "partial contains ITS1, 5.8S rRNA, ITS2". The stretch from base 367 to 520 matches the Rfam family "5.8S ribosomal RNA". The record is from RNAcentral. Lineage: Eukaryota; Fungi; Ascomycota; Saccharomycetes; Saccharomycetales; Saccharomycetaceae.